CUCCCUCCCCAUAUUCAUCUCCUGCAAAAACCAACCCUCUUGUUUUCGUAAAUGGUCUUGUCUGCCCAUUGUAUCUAUUUCGAGCACUAUUGUUAUUUCCUCCACCGCUAUUAUUGUUAACCAUUUUCGAUGUAGCAACUUCAUGAUCGGUAGUAUUGUUAUACAAAACUGCAUCGAAAAUAACACUAUUCGCUUCAGCAUCUUGAUCCCACCUCCAAUUUUUCAUCUUCGUCCUUGUUGCCAUUCUUGCUCUUGUUUUCACCUUAGGAGCUCUUGAAUCUUCGUAAUUCCCCUUCAUAACCCUCUGCAUUUCCACUUCUCUCUCUCCAUUAUCAGUGGACCUACCCAAGCUCAUUCCAACAACAUAAGUUGCCCCAACCUCUGGCCCGACCCAAACUCGAGCCCUGGACACAAAAUGCCUCUCGUCUGCGUAAUCUGCAUCAUCAUUUUUCUUAAAUCCUAAUUUCGCCACGUGGAACCGCAAGUUAUCCACGCGUACCUUAACCCGAAUACACCCUUCAGAGAAACUAACUGAAUAUUCCAACUGUAAGAUUGCCUCUAACUGUUGGUGUGCUAAGGCGUACUUUAGCACUGAAUCCCUUGCUUCAAUAGCAGGAAAUUUGUUAUUUCUAGAACUUGUAGUAAGAUCCAUAGCCAAAAUGGGUGCAUAGCCCUUGAGUACCCAAAACCCAUGAGCCUCCAUUGCAUAAGAUAACUUUACUUGAUGAUCCAGCAUAGGGGCUAAAACAUGCAAUCCUACGCCCACCUCCCUUAAAAUAAGCCAUUUUGUUAGCAUAUACCCAAGGGUGCGCAUAAAACAGAGCUCGGCAUCCACUCCCACAGUAAUCAGAAAGGUUCGCAGAGCAGGGUUUUGUUCACAUUUGAAGGCUUCAAGGUUAGGACGCAAUAGGGAUUCAAAGUAUAAGGACCCAACUUCACUAGGAGCAUCACACACGCACAGCCAAAACAAGCGCAUCAGAAACACUAAGUUGAAGAAACUCGAAAAAGAUUCCAGUGAGUGAGAGUCCAUUAUCCAAGAAAUCGGUUCGGGCUUGAGUUUUUGUAGCUGUGAACGAGGACAAGUAGUAUUGUGCGCCAUGGGUGAGCGGGUGAUGAUUUCUUGGAGAAGCUGGAGUAAUAGGGGAAGGAAGGGUUUCUCUGAAUUGAGAGGACAGGUAUCAGAAACCCAGAGGGUCUUUGGAGCAUUGUGGGGGUGAAAACCCUGUAAGGAUAUAGUGAAGGUCACUAAUGCUUCCAAGUUGGACCCAGCAGUUCUCUCUGCUUUGAGUUGAAUAGUCCGAGUGAAGUCAUCUCCAGGCGGUUUGGAGGUGGCGAGUUCGAUGAUGUGAGAGGAGUCUGAGUCGGUCCAGUCGGCCAACUCAGGGAGCUCAGAGAUCCAGGACCAUAUAUCAAUCAUCAUGGAUCUGGGUUCAAUUUGGUUGGAGUUUUUGUUAGUUAAUUUGGAGGUGACUGUGAGAGAGGAUGUGUAAGGUUUAAAAGGAGAGAAUGAGUGGAAAAUGGAUAUGAAAACUUGGAGCUAACAGUAGCCACUAACCGGGCGCGAGAAGCAGUGGCUGUGGGCAGUUUGCGGGUGUAUUUUGAAGUUGCAUUAAUUACUGCGUUUUGUUGGUGAGGCAGCUUACACGUGUUCACUGAAGCUCGGAUACUUUGCUUGUUCAAUUUUACGUCACAAAAACUCCCUUAAAAUCUUCAUACAUAGGUUGGAGUGUAUUGAAUGAAAAUUUAAUAAAUUAAGCGAUAUAUAUAUAUAUUUUUGGUUUAAAAUAGAUUAUCUAGAUCCCUCUCUCUAAGCUCACCACAUUGGACUUCUCUUAGUACGUCAAUCAGUUUCAGUGGCGUACACAGCACAGGUUCAUGGUUCUGCAGGAAGAUGGGUGGCCUCUUGGCCUAAGACCACUGAAUGCAAGAAUUGGGUUGGUGAGAAAUCGUGAUUUCAAUGGAUCAAUUUCAUUUAGCACUCUACUUACUGGUUCUCCUAGCUCCACCGCAGAUUCUUCCUCAGAUCCCGAUACAGAGUCUACUGGAUCUUUCUUCCAU
Molecule: unclassified non-coding RNA, 2058 nt
Filed under: Hevea brasiliensis (rubber tree)
Lineage: Eukaryota; Viridiplantae; Streptophyta; Magnoliopsida; Malpighiales; Euphorbiaceae
Source: RNAcentral